UUCGGCAGGCCUAAUACAUGCAAGUCGAGGGGCAGCACGGGCAGCAAUGUCUGGUGGCGACCGGCGCUCGGGUGCGUAACGCGUAUGCAACCUACCUUUAACAGGGGGAUAGCUCCGAGAAAUCGGGAUUAAUACCCCAUAGUAUUGAGCUGUGGAUCACAGUUUGAUUAAAGUUCCGGCGGUUAAAGAUGGGCAUGCGUGCCAUUAGCUAGUUGGUGAGGUAACGGCUCACCAAGGCAACGAUGGCUAGGGGUUCUGAGAGGAUUAUCCCCCACACUGGUACUGAGACACGGACCAGACUCCUACGGGAGGCAGCAGUAAGGAAUAUUGGGCAAUGGGCGCAAGCCUGACCCAGCCAUGCCGCGUGCAGGAAGACAGCCUUAUGGGUUGUAAACUGCUUUUGUCAGGGAAUAAACCCCCGCUCGUGCAGCGGGGCUGAAGGUACCUGAAGAAUAAGCACCGGCUAACUCCGUGCCAGCAGCCGCAGUAAUACGGAGGGUGCAAGCGUUAUCCGGAUUUAUUGGGUUUAAAGGGAGCGCAGGCGGGUUUGUAAGUCAGCGGUGAAAUCCCACCGGCUCACCGUGGAACUGCCAUUGAUACUGCAGGCCUUGAAGUGUAUUUGAAGUGGGCGGAAUGUAUCAUGUAGCGGUGAAAUGCAUACAUAUGCUACACAACACCAAUUGCGAAGGC
RNAcentral lists this ribosomal RNA (690 nucleotides) under uncultured bacterium. Its description in RNAcentral is "bacterial SSU rRNA". It matches the Rfam family "Bacterial small subunit ribosomal RNA", at positions 38 to 722 of the family's 1533-position model. The record is from RNAcentral.